This is a long non-coding RNA of Triticum dicoccoides, 4099 nucleotides long. RefSeq lists it as uncharacterized. The transcript is spliced from 2 exons. Lineage: Eukaryota; Viridiplantae; Streptophyta; Magnoliopsida; Poales; Poaceae. The record is from RefSeq and is a predicted model, not a curated record.
CACCAUCCCGUACAUCAGCUGCCAUGGAUCGCGGCGCCGCCCUGUGCCCCAACUAUUGUCGUUGCUUCCUGCCCCAUCCGCCACCGCUGCCCACCGCAUCCACAAUCCGUUGCAUCCCACCGCCGUCUCCACCGCCAGUGUGAACCAUCUCUCUCCUCGGUCCUCUCUCUUGGACCAGCAUGCGGCGGCGCCUGCUUCCGAUUGCGUGGUAGCGACGCGGCUGGUCGAGGGAACGUGGGUGAGGCGUACUGUGUACUGUCGUCGAUCUGUGCCCAUCUCCUGUUCCUCUCCCAUCGAACGUCGUGUCCGUAGUUACUAUAACACACGACGCUCUACUAUCCUGCGGCCAUGCUUAUAAACGACAGCAAUGGUGUCCUAUUGUGCCCCUUCAAACGAUGGACCGCCGAGGCGCCGAAGUAGCAGGAGAAGAUCGCGCUCCGCAUAGCAAAUUCUGCCGUGUUCUAAGUGGCUGCCCGGCAAGAUAAAUUUCUUCUCUGAAGUUCUCUCAUGGAACUUGGGUGGAAUGGAUUCGUGGGUGUGCUAGGUGGAGUGCCACUUGAUUGCCAUGUUAGUAGGUACAAUCUCCUCUCACACACGAACUUGGGUUGCCGAGGAACUGGCUCAAUACUACUAUCCUUUGGCUCUGCAAUGGUGAUUUAGAUACUUUUGUUUUUUCCAAUCAUGAUGGUUUAGUUACUUUAUUAACAGGUGCUUCAGUUAGGACUAAUAGUUGAGAGUGCUCGAUUGGAUUGAAUUUGGCAGAGUACAAUACAAUUUUGUUGUAAUUGGUGGUUUAGUUAGUUUUAAAAAAUGGUUCAUGGGCUCAAUUGCUGUUUAGCUUACUACGAUAUAGUUCUGUGGAUUUUCGGUGAUGAAUGGUGAAGCUUGGUGUGAAGUACUAGAGUUCUGCUUUUACCUAUUGAACCUUACCAUAUUUUAAAUUACCUAAUACCAAAUGCAUUGUUGUUGUUUUUUGCCCAGUGUACUACAGUUUAAUAUGCAGAACUUGAGCUUUGUUUGCCAAGAAAAUGUAUGUGUUAAUUCCCACAAGAAGGAGCAAUUCAUUCCCUGUCCCAAGUAUUUAUCACUCAACAUUGAUGCUUCAUGUGUUUAUUCUGCAGAGACAUGGUCACAUGGAUAAUUAGCAUCUUUUGGCAAAGGCGGGUUAACUCACUGGAGAAAUACUACCGCACCUAUGACUAUGAGUGUAGAUGUCCACUCCUGAUUUUUGAGGACCACUUUAGGAUGUCAUCAUUAGUGCAGCUUCAAAGCUGCUUGACAUUACAUAACAUUUGAUGUUUACUAAUCUGAAAUUUGAGCCUAAGCAAUGUUGAAUAGACUUGAUGGAGUUUCCAAUAAGGAAAUUAGAUAAUCUGGUGUGUGCGCCAUAGGAUUAGUGUUGUUUGAAGAACUUUUUCUUCUUACCAAUCAGGCUAAUGAUUUUAACUGUUGAUGCAGACCCUGUGCUGGAUGGGCUGGAUGUUCAUCAUCAACGCCAGUCAGGGUUUCAGGCUCCUGUGGAACUCAUGCCAUCAGCCAUAUGGAUCUGCAUGUAUUUGAUAGUUUGCUCAAUCAGUUUUAUGCCUUCAACUACAGCUAAGACUACCACAUAACUUCAGUGAGAUUUGUUUUCUAUAGUACUUGGAUUAAUAAUCUUCAAGACUCCAACAAUAUCGUCAUGCUGCUUCUUAUAUUUACUUUCAGUUCUAGACACGUUUGUGAUUUUCCUUAUGGUGCACUACUAAACUGUGUGUGCUAAACCAAACAUGACAUUUGCGCCUUUUCAGAUAUGCUCAUAUGCAUGCACGUUUCAAGAGAAUGUAUCUAUUUAGUAUAUAGAAAGGUACCUAAAAUGUUAGCUUAUCUGGCCGACUCUUAAAAUAUACGGCCCUUUUACUUCUUAUUGCCGUGAACAUGGGGAGCCUUGAACGGAGUAUGGUGUCAAUAAUCAGUAUAUACCAGAACAAUAUAUUUGUGAUAUUACAUAUACUGACUUUGUGAUAAUGGAAUAUAUACCACAUUUUGCCCAUGGACUUGAUACCACAUUUUUUAACUGAUUUGAAUAGCCGAAGUCAUUUUUUAUCUUCAUUGUGGUAUGUGCUACCAUCAAAAGUAGUAUAUAAGGUACUAAUUUCAAGUAUAUACAGAAGACCCAAAGUGGUCGGACCCUUCCACGGACCUUGCGCAAGCAGGAGCUACAUGCACCGGGCUGCCCUUUACAUCUAUAACCAUGUAGUAUGCACACUGAUCUUUGUGCAUGGCAGUAUGUAGCCUACGAAAUCAAAUCAAAAGGGUAUAUAACAUAUAUUUGUAUUGAAGUAAGUAUACCGUUUUUGUGAUGUAGCAUAUACAACAUUUUUUGUAAGGCAAUAUAUGGAAUCAAUAUACUACUUUUUUAGUCAGUAUAUACAUAAAUGUUUGAUUGAAGAUACUCAUAGUCUGAGGUAAAUAUAACUUCCAUGCAAGCUGUCAAAUAGUUUUCUUUUAUCUUGAAAUAAAUUUGUUUUAAAAAAUCAUGGUAACAGAUUUAUUAAAUUAUUACGUGGGAGAGACCCUCAACUAAUAAUAUUGUGUAUACGCUCCUUUCCUCAAGAGGUAGUGAACUAGCGAUCUAUUAUGCUCGACAAAAUCCAGUGUACUAUUAUUGGGAGGGUCACAUGUUCUGAAACUAUGUGUUGUACAUUGCUUCAGUUUGUCUGCCAGAUCCGCUAAAUCAUUUUCACAUAUAUUUUUCUAUCAAAGUGUAGCUGGGAGUGCUGCAUAUCAAACGUACAGUUUUGUCUAAGUUAUGGUAAUUGACUCACUUAAUUGUUAUAUAUGUGGUCCAGGACCUGCUGCCCUUUUGCCAAUUAUUAUCAUGCUCACAGAACAGAACUAAUAAAUGGUAUGUGCAGAAUUAGACAAUAAGAGUAAAAACAAAAGUAGGCUAGGAAAAAGAUACAACAUCAUUAAGCGGCAGUAUUAUCGGAAAGAUUGCACACUAUUGUUGAUUGCCUUGACGCCCUGUACUUCUUCGAGACCCGAAAGAGAUCACUGCUUCUCCACUGUCUAUUCCUCUUCCUGUUAAAAUACAACCUCAAACAAUCUUGCGGCAUGUCUCUCCCUCCUGCUACUUCCAACCCCAUGGAGAGCUAACCCAUGUCUCUCUCAAGACCAAGUUGGGGCAUGGAUCCGCUAUGCUAAAGGAGCUUAUUGACUCAAAACCGUUGUCCUCAUCUUUAUCAGUCUGUUUUGUAUGUGUGCUUGGAUAGUGUUGUGCUCUCCAGGGAUGCAAUCUCGGCUCUUCUCACGUACAACCUAUGGAUGACUCAUGGAGAUUGGUUGGGAAGCAUAAUCCUCUCAUGUACAACCUAUGGACAUAAUGGACAUCGAUCGGAGUAUAACUAUGCUCAUCAGGCGAGCUUAUAAAUUAUAUCUGCUAUCUAAACAGAAGACAAGAGCAUGAAGGAGCCUAAUGUCAGUGUCAACGUCGUCACUGGUCAAGUUAGUAAUAAUUUUUUGUAUCGAAAAAGAAUGUCCAAGACCCUCAAUGGGAGAGUUAACAUCGUCAAUGGCCUGCCCCAGUCUAUUUACAGCUCAUGGUGUUGCUUGAUUUACUGGUCCGCCACAACCUCCUGUUCAAGGAAGUUCCUUGCCAAGCUGUCAUGUCCUGACUUAGAGAAUUGACUUCGCAUGAAUUUUCUUCUAACCCCUUUUUAGUCAGCGGAUAGUGCAGAUAGUUAGACUGGAACACUGACGAUGAAGUUCUCUGUCAACUACUGAAACAUUGAGGGUUCUGUUCUAAUUCUGGAUAACUAUUUUUUUUGCAGGCAAUUGGUUUGCAAAAGCAAAGGCAUGUGAGAACUACUAAUGAGUUGAGCGUUGUUGCUGCUACACUUUUGGUUUUCUGUCAAUUGCGUGUGACAAAUACUCAAUUUUAUGUUAAAUAGAUUGUGCGUGAAAUACUCGGUGCUAUCAACUAGGAGUAAUAGCAUUGCUAGGGUAAGGGAAGUUAUACUCUGUUGAUGUUAUCAUCAACACAGAAGAACUCAUAUAUUUUCUAUUCAUAUACACUUUUUACGACUACGUAAUUCCUGAAUAAGAUAGUUUCAAAUUCUUU